Molecule: transfer RNA, 85 nt
Filed under: Felis catus (domestic cat)
Lineage: Eukaryota; Metazoa; Chordata; Mammalia; Carnivora; Felidae
Rfam family: tRNA
About the family: Transfer RNA (tRNA) molecules are approximately 80 nucleotides in length.
Source: Rfam by way of RNAcentral
GCCUGGGUGGCUCAGUCGGUUGGGCAUCUGACUGUGGCUCAGGUCAUGAUCUCACAGUUUGUGGGUUCGAGCCCUGCUAUGGGCU